AUAAAGAACAUAUGCAAGAA
This 20-nucleotide small nuclear RNA is filed under the name Arabidopsis thaliana (thale cress). Its description in RNAcentral is "snRNA_00390". Lineage: Eukaryota; Viridiplantae; Streptophyta; Magnoliopsida; Brassicales; Brassicaceae. The record is from RNAcentral.